CCUACGUGUGGCAGCAGUGGGGGAUAUUGCACACUGGGGGGAACCCUGAUGCAGCGACGCCGCGUUGGUGAAGGAGCGUUUCGGCGCGUAAAGCCCUAUCGGCAGGGAAGAAGAUGACGGUACCUGACCAAGAAGCCCCGGCUAACUACGUGCCAGCAGCCGCGGUAAUACGUAGGGGGCAAGCGUUAUCCGGAUUUAUUGGGUUUAAAGGGUGCGUAGGCUGUGAGGUAAGUCAGCGGUGAAAUGCCCCCGCUCAACGGGGUGAAGUGCCAUUGAUACUGCCUUGCUGGAAUGCGGAUGCCGUGGGAGGAAUGUGUGGUGUAGCGGUGAAAUGCAUAGAUAGCACACAGAACACCGAUUGCGAAGGCAUCUCACGAAUCCGCGAUUGACGCUGAUGCACGAAAGCGUGGGUAUCAAACAGGAUUAGAUACCCCUGUAGUC
Molecule: ribosomal RNA, 441 nt
Filed under: uncultured bacterium
Lineage: Bacteria
Description: partial 16S ribosomal RNA
Rfam family: Bacterial small subunit ribosomal RNA
Source: RNAcentral